RNAcentral lists this ribosomal RNA (428 nucleotides) under uncultured prokaryote. Its description in RNAcentral is "bacterial SSU rRNA". It matches the Rfam family "Bacterial small subunit ribosomal RNA", at positions 355 to 774 of the family's 1533-position model. The record is from RNAcentral.
UGAGGAAUAUUGCGCAAUGGGGGCAACCCUGACGCAGCAACGCCGCGUGAGCGAGGAAGGUCUUCGGAUCGUAAAGCUCUGUCAGAUGGAAAGAACCGCAUGGAGAUAAAUAGUCUUCAUGUCUGACGGUACAAUCAAAGGAAGCACCGGCUAACUCCGUGCCAGCAGCCGCGGUAAUACGGGGGGUGCAAGCGUUGUUCGGAAUUAUUGGGCGUAAAGAGCGUGUAGGCGGCCUGAUGUGUCAGAUGUGAAAGCCCUGAGCUCAACUCAGGAAGUGCAUUUGAAAAUGUCGGGCUUGAGUAGGGGAGAGGGAAUUGGAAUUCCUGGUGUAGAGGUGAAAUUCGUAGAUAUCAGGAGGAACACCGGUGGCGAAGGCGACUUCCUGGCCCUAUACUGACGCUGAGACGCGAGAGCGUGGGUAGCAAACA